Prionailurus viverrinus (fishing cat) is the source of this 139-nucleotide small nucleolar RNA. RefSeq annotates it as small nucleolar RNA SNORA67. The transcript has a single exon. NCBI's taxonomy places the organism in Eukaryota, Metazoa, Chordata, Mammalia, Carnivora, Felidae. The record is from RefSeq and is a predicted model, not a curated record.
UUCAAAGGUGAGCCUCUCUACAAGGUGCAACUAGUGACUUCCAACCCCCAGAAACAUAGAAACCUGGGAUAAAAUCUGGAAUGCCCAAGGUCUGUGGGGUAAGGUGAUGUUUCCUUUUGACCUCUGACUGCCUACAUAU